UAGGGAAUCUUCGGCAAUGGACGAAAGUCUGACCGAGCAACGCCGCGUGAGUGAAGAAGGUUUUCGGAUCGUAAAACUCUGUUGUUAGAGAAGAACAAGGACGUUAGUAACUGAACGUCCCCUGACGGUAUCUAACCAGAAAGCCACGGCUAACUACGUGCCAGCAGCCGCGGUAAUACGUAGGUGGCAAGCGUUGUCCGGUUUUAUUGGGCGUAAAGAGAGCGAAGGCGGUUUCUUAAGUCUGAUGUGAAAGCCCCCGGCUCAACCGGGGAGGGUCAUUGGAAACUGGGAGACUUGAGUGCAGAAGGGGAAAAUGGAAUUCAAUGUGUAACGAUAAAAUGCGUAGAUGUAUGGAGGAACACCAGUGGAAAAGGCAGCUCUCUGGUCUGUAACUGACGCUGCGGCUCGAAAGCGUGGGGAGCAAACAGG
This 429-nucleotide ribosomal RNA is filed under the name Gemmatimonadota bacterium. Its description in RNAcentral is "Gemmatimonadetes bacterium partial 16S ribosomal RNA". It matches the Rfam family "Bacterial small subunit ribosomal RNA", at positions 355 to 776 of the family's 1533-position model. The record is from RNAcentral. Lineage: Bacteria; Pseudomonadati; Gemmatimonadota.